Long non-coding RNA from Gouania willdenowi (blunt-snouted clingfish), 3378 nucleotides. The record is from Ensembl. Lineage: Eukaryota; Metazoa; Chordata; Actinopteri; Blenniiformes; Gobiesocidae.
GUCACAUCAGGAAGUCUUAGGAAUGAACUAGAGCAAUAUACAUCAGGUACAUCCACUUAAUAUAGAGAUUUUCUCUAAAAUAAACAUUCGUUGCAAGCUGACGAACUCUCGCGAUAACUACAGUAUUAUCAGCAUCGCUCUGUUUUACUGUUGCGGUUUAUUAAACCUCUACAAAAACAACACAAAUAAUCACUACAUUACCUACAGCUUCUUUUAUAAGUCACACAAAGCUUAAGGCUUUAAUUUAUGGUAGUACUGACCUGUGAAGGCAGAGUCACAGCAUCUACUACGGACUAAACAACUACAGUGCUAAAGGUUCCACUUACCAUUCCGCUCCUUUACUCUACAGGUUUUACAUAGAAAUGUGUCUAAUAAAUCUAGAAUUAAGCUCUUAUUUCACAAAAUAGAAUUUUAUUAUUAUUAUCAUUAUUAUUACUUUCAUGAAUCUCACUGGGUGGGCAAUCUGUCAAUCUGGGUGGGUCUGUGCCCAUCCAGGCCCACCCAUAGCUCCGCCCUAUGUACCAUGUGUCGAACUCUAAGAACUGAAUAAACAGUAAUGGCUUGUUUGGUUUUGACACAUUUCAAUGUUGCUUUUAAAGUUCAUCCCGUCAAUUAUCCAACUAUGAAUGAAAUAAAGACUAAUAAAUAAUACAGAAAAUGAACAAAUUGACAAAUAAAUAAAUAAACUACGUUUUUGAGGAAAGAACGAAACGGCUGCCUCACCCACGCCGCUAGGUGGCGGUACUGAUCGUCUUGGUGACCCCUACUGGUUCAGUGACGUAGGCGUGUGCGUCACUUUGGUUUUGUCCAUUAUUUAACCGCCACAGCGCUGCUCCAGACGCCAUGUUUUAAAGUCCCUUCCCAGCAGUGUGAAGUUAGCUUAGCAGAGCCGCUGAGAUGUCUGCGGAUGCCUUUCAGAGCGAGUACGCCUCCGUCAUGGACAGCAUGAUGAGGACCGCCAUGGCACAGACCACCAAGCUGGUGGAGAGCAUGGUGAACGACCUGAGGGCCGAGAUAUCCCGAGUAAGGACCGAGAACGAGCUCCUGCGCUCGGCGUGCGGGCGGCCGGACGAGCAGAAGAACCAGGGAAACCAUCCAGCUGUUCAUGCCGGAGACACAAGGCUUCUAUCGGCUGCUCAGGCCGAGGAUUACCGAAGUGUGGCGGAAAAACACGACCGAGCUGUGCAGUGCGAUUUGGCCAACAUGGCGGAGCUGGCACCGCUCCAACAACACCAACACGUCACAGAGAAAAGAACUAAGUACGUCCUGAGGCCUCACAAAAGUGUCACAGACGACGAUGGGAACUCCCAGAUGACGUUCACUCUGGUCAAGCAUGAGCAUUCAGACGCCGUGUGUUCUAUAGAUCCAAUGUUCGUAUCGAGUGAUCCAGCGUUUGCUGAUGAGACCCAGGACCUAGAGCUGUACACGGUGGAGGAGAAGCCCACACUAAUGCUCAUCCAGAAGUUUGAAGAAACCACAGCCACGCCCAUUUUUGAAAAGGAACCCAGCCCCCCGCGCUCCCCCAUCAUUUCCAUCGCCACAGUGAUGAGCAUCACUGAGGAGGAGUUUGACAGCGUAGGACGACCAAACUUCAGCCUACAAGAAACCAGCAUGGUGUUGGCAAGCGAAGCCCCCAAUGUCCCAGAGAGACCCACGCUACUGCCCCCCUGCCUCUUCGAACACUCCUACGCCCAGAAAAAACGAGGGGCGCCUCCUCGCAAGAGACGCAGGAGGAAAAGAUUGGUGCCAAAGAAACAGCGUAAAAACCCUCGUCCAAAGGUCUCUCCGAUUCCCUCCCUCAGCGUUUCCAACAGUCCUCACCAUUUAGAAGUUAAUGUGGCGGGAAAACGCACAACUGGGCGUGCACGGGCCUUAAAACAGGAUGAAGAGGAGGAGGAGGUGACCGAUCAUUCAUCAGAUCCAGAGGACGAGCAGCGUGUGAUGGUACCACUGACGCUGACUCAGCCAAUAGCAGAGCAGCCACAGUCACACACAGAGGCAGAGGAUGAGACACAAAUUAAGUCCAACUUUGUCCUAGUUUGGGAUGAUCCCGACUCUCUGGAUGAGGCUCCCCACGUGAACCCCAUCCCCGAACCUCUGGUCCACAAUGCACCUGUUGAAUCGACACAGGAGACUGUUCCCACUGCUGAUAAUUUAACAUAUAUAGAUCUAACCGCAACGUCGGAGGACGCUUUACUUUCAGAUCACUUUGAUCUCCAGUCAGGAAUUAUGCUUCUAGCCACUGCGUCAGAACAACAAACCCAGAGAGAUGACCUGAGGUCCUGUCAAAGGCAAGAGAAUGCACAGACGUGUGGUUUAUUCUUGGGAGGUGAGCCUGAGCCACCUCAAGAACCAGAGCAAGAACAAGUGAGAGAAGCAGAAGGCAAACGCGCGAGGGAAGAAGCAAAACGAGUUCGGGAGGAGGAAGCAAAACGAGUGCGGGAAGAGGAACUAGUACAGAAAGAAGCAAAACGAGUUAGAGAAAAAGAAAAACAAGCGCGAGAAGAGCAACGAGUACAGGAGGAAGCAAAACGAGUUCGAGAAGAAGUGCAACGAGUGCAAGAAAAACGAGUACAAGAAGAAGCGAAACGAGCGCGAGAAGAGGAAACAAAACGGGCGCGAGAAAAGGAACGAGUUCGAGAAGAAGCAAAACGAGUGCGAGAAGAAGCAAAACGAGUGCGAGAAGAAGCAAAACGAGAGCGAGAAGAAGCGAAACGAGCGCGAGAAGAGGAAGCGAAACGAGCGCGAGAAGAGGAAGCGGAACGAGCGCGAGAAGAGGAAGCGGAACGAGCGCGAGAAGAGGAAGCGGAACGAGCGCGAGAAGAGGAAGCGGAACGAGCGCGCGAAGAGGAAGCGGAACGAGCGCGCGAAGAGGAAGCGGAACGAGCGCGCGUACAGGAAGCGGAACGAGCGCGAGUACAGGAAGCGGAACGAGCGCGAGUACAGGAAGCGGAACGAGCGCGAGAAGAGGAAGCGGAACGAGCGCGAGAAGAGGAAGCGGAACGAGCGCGAGAAGAGGAAGCGGAACGAGCGCGAGAAGAGGAAGCGGAACGAGCGCGAGAAGAGGAAGCGGAACGAGCGCGAGUACAGGAAGCGGAACGAGCGCGAGUACAGGAAGCAGAGAAACUAGCGCACGCACAGGAAGCAGAGAAACUAGCGCGCGCACAGGAAGCAGAGAAACUAGCGCGCGCACAGGAAGCAGAGAAGCCAGAGCAAGAAACUAGCGCGCGCACAGGAAGCAGAGAAACUAGCGCGCGCACAGGAAGCAGAGAAACUAGCGCGCGCACAGGAAGCAGAGAAACUAGCGCGCGCACAGGAAGCAGAGAAACUAGCGCGCGUACAGGAAGCAGAGAAACUAGCGCAGGAAGAAGAAGCUAG